GUCCACGCCGUAAACGGUGGGAACUAGAUGUGGGGUCCGUUCCACGGAUUCCGUGUCGCAGCUAACGCAUUAAGUUCCCCGCCUGGGGAGUACGGCCGCAAGGCUAAAACUCAAAGGAAUUGACGGGGGCCCGCACAAGCGGCGGAGCAUGCGGAUUAAUUCGAUGCAACGCGAAGAACCUUACCAAGGCUUGACAUAUAGAGGAAAAGUGCAGAAAUGCACUCCCCGCAAGGUCUCUAUACA
Molecule: ribosomal RNA, 243 nt
Filed under: uncultured bacterium
Lineage: Bacteria
Description: partial 16S ribosomal RNA
Rfam family: Bacterial small subunit ribosomal RNA
Source: RNAcentral